GCAUUGGUGGUGCAAUGGUAGAAUUCUAGCCUUUUAAGAGGGAGACCUGGGUGCAAUUCCCAGCCAAUGGA
Molecule: transfer RNA, 71 nt
Filed under: Loxodonta africana (African savanna elephant)
Lineage: Eukaryota; Metazoa; Chordata; Mammalia; Proboscidea; Elephantidae
Rfam family: tRNA
About the family: Transfer RNA (tRNA) molecules are approximately 80 nucleotides in length. Their secondary structure includes four short double-helical elements and three loops (D, anti-codon, and T loops).
Source: Rfam by way of RNAcentral